UAGGGAAUCUUCCACAAUGGACGCAAGUCUGAUGGAGCAACGCCGCGUGAGUGAAGAAGGUUUUCGGACCGUAAAGCUCUGUUGUUGGUGAAGAAGGAUAGAGGUAGUAACUGGCCUUUAUUUGACGGUAAUCAACCAGAAAGUCACGGCUAACUACGUGCCAGCAGCCGCGGUAAUCGUAGGUGGCAAGCGUUGUCCGGAUUUAUUGGGCGUAAAGCGAGCGCAGGCGGAAGAAUAAGUCUGAUGUGAAAGCCCUCGGCUUAACCGAGGAAUUGCAUCGGAAACUGUUUUCUUGAGUGCAGAAGAGGAGAGUAGAACUCCAUGUGUAGCGGUGGAAUGCGUAGAUAUAUGGAAGAAUACCAGUGGCGAAGGCGGCUCUCUGGUCUGCAACUGACGCUGAGGCUCGAAAGCAUGGGUAGCGAACAGGAUUAGAUACCCUGGUAGUCCAUGCCGUAAACGAUGAGUGCUAAGUGUUGGGAGGCUUCCGCCUCUCAGUGCUGCAGCUAACGCAUUAAGCACUCCGCCUGGGAAGUACGACCGCAAGGUUGAAAC
This 552-nucleotide ribosomal RNA is filed under the name uncultured bacterium. Its description in RNAcentral is "partial 16S ribosomal RNA". It matches the Rfam family "Bacterial small subunit ribosomal RNA", at positions 355 to 900 of the family's 1533-position model. The record is from RNAcentral.